This is a long non-coding RNA of Thunnus maccoyii (southern bluefin tuna), 219 nucleotides long. RefSeq lists it as uncharacterized. The transcript is spliced from 3 exons. The record is from RefSeq and is a predicted model, not a curated record. NCBI's taxonomy places the organism in Eukaryota, Metazoa, Chordata, Actinopteri, Scombriformes, Scombridae.
GUACCAACAGCUGGUCAGCAGUGAGGAAGCAGUCAGAUACUCCUGUGCUAUCAAAGGCUACGAGCAUCUCAGAGCUCCUGAAGUCUCAGUGGAUUCUGUCACAUCGACCUGCUUUACUGUGACCUACGCUGAAGGAAGAAUGUGUUCUGAAAAGCAGACAUCAGUGAAUGAGUCCUGCUCCAUCACAUAUCCCAGAGAAGUAGGUCUACAAAGGACUCC